RNAcentral lists this microRNA precursor (119 nucleotides) under Bombyx mori (domestic silkworm). RNAcentral's name for it is "microRNA bmo-mir-3001 precursor". The record is from miRBase by way of RNAcentral. Lineage: Eukaryota; Metazoa; Arthropoda; Insecta; Lepidoptera; Bombycidae.
GUAUGUGAUUCAGAUGCGUUUAAGUUGAAAGAAUUGUAGAUUUUGAUUCCGUUUUCGCCAAUAAAAUUCAGCAGAAUUGAUAUUUUUCUUUUGUCUUUGGCGUCAUCAAGGCCAUUAGC